Sarcophilus harrisii (Tasmanian devil) is the source of this 15563-nucleotide long non-coding RNA. The record is from Ensembl. NCBI's taxonomy places the organism in Eukaryota, Metazoa, Chordata, Mammalia, Dasyuromorphia, Dasyuridae.
GGGGGUUGGGAUGCUACUGUUCCUGGAGUACUGAAGUUUAGCUGUCUGUUAGUGACAGUUGGUCAGCAGUUGGUGGUGGUGAGAAGGAUGUACCCUUCUUCAGGAACUGAUUCCCUGGAUGAUGGCUGCAGAGGCAGAUCUAGACGUAGGGAUGAAUCAGCAUACAAUAGUCAACUUGGUGGAAUUAUAGGGAUAAAGCCAUUUUGGAGAUCUUUUACUGUGGGAGAAGAACUUUGAUUGUGCCUCCUUGAUGGGUGGAACAUCCCUGUGGAGUAAUUGGGUAAGUUAUCAGAGGUGAUUUAAUUAGAUCAGAGGAUUAUAGAUCUAAGACACAUUCUUUGAAGUUAAAAAGGAAGCCAAGCUGAGAUCUGAAGAUCCAGAAGUAACAAGAGGGCAGACCAAAGAUCUGAGAAUGGACUUGGGUCCCAAGAGUGAAGUCUACCCUUCUACAUAUAGAUCCUUCAUGAAACUCAGCCUCCCAAACUACCAGUCCUAGAGAUGGCCGACAUGAAGAUAAAGUAGCAAAGCCUAUAAGCCCAAGAAAUGGCAAUAGAUGGGGAUACAGGUGGAAGGGAUGGAGUGGCAAUAAUUCUGAAACUCUUGGUUCUUGGACAGGCAGUGAUGCAAAUUCUCAACCUUGGGAGAUGGUAACCUUGGAGAGAAAAGCCACUAGGGGAGUUCAUCAUCUAGAGGUAGACCAAGGAAUUAGCUUGUGACCCCAGGUUUGAAGGCAUAGCAAUGGACUGAGUCACAAAAUAGAGAAAUUAAACUUGUACUUUGCCAAGAUAAUUUGAUCAGCCAGUGAAUUCCAGUGGCAAGAGGAAUGCCUCUCAACUUUAAGUGUCUCCCUUUUUAUGGGAAAAGCCCUUUUAAUAAGAGGCCUGUGUAGGUCCCUGAGGUAGAAGAUGGAAUUCACCAGAAUGUAGGGAUUGAUUUUCUAACAAUCCCAAUUCUCUGGUAAUUCAAUUUUUUUCUAGGAGGAAGUCUAAGCCUUUAGUACUAUAAUGCUACAGGAUUAUAUAGGUUCCUGGGAGAAAAAAGUCAGACUCAACAGAAGAGGGGAAAGAAGUAUAUUGAUUAUGUACAACCUACUUGUGAAUCCUUUAUAUUGUUUUUCAUUUUUCAUGGGGCAAAAAAAUGGCUGUGCUAUUUCUGAUAUGCAUUGUUACCUUGAAUGCUUGCAUAGGAGCUAAGGCCUCUCGAAGAGAUCCAAAUAUAAGGUCCCUAAGAACAAAAACAAGCAAAAAAAAUCUUAAAGUAUACAACCUUCUAGAAGGUAAAACUUAACAAAUGAAUAUAGUCUAUGUAUUACCAAAGUUUUUAGGGUUCUGGGCAACAGUUUACAGGGACUAUUUUUUCCCACAUUGAUAACUACAGAGACCUCCAAAUAGUGAAGGAUUAAUUCAGAAAAAAGCACUUAUUUUUCUGCACUGCAGAUCAAAUGUCUACUUUCCUAUAGCUUUCUUUCCUUCUUCACAUUCCUGGUGAUGGGCAUUUUAAAGGUUUCUCCAGCUUGGAUUCUCUUUUUUGGAACUCAUUUAUUUUGUAUUCCAACUCCUAUAAGAUAUAAGGACUUUCAUUUGUUUGUCCUUUAUGGUGACCUAGACAAACUUGGUUUCACAUGAAACCAAAACCCCAGUUUACUCUCUUGGAACUCAGGCUGUGGGUCUACUUUACCUUCUCAAUUUUCUUGCUGUUGCUGUAUUACCCCAUUCCAAUGAUAGCCUCAUAUCCUGGGCUUGUUUUACUAGAUUCCUAGAGGCUUCACUAAAUCCCAAGAGAUGAACCAUUCUUGGCUAAAGUCUCUCUCCAGCCCAAUCAACCCCACCCAAUUAGCCUCAUUAAUUAUAUUCUAAAAUCAUCCUGGUCACCAAACCAGUAAAUUUGAAACUUCUUUUCUCUCUCUUAAUCUUUCUUUACCACCCUGGUUGUAAAGAAAGAUUAAGGGAGAGAACAGAAGUUUCAAAUCUGAACAGAAGUUAGGAUCUGUCCUAACACAUUACUAAUUGCCAUCUUUUACUUCUAUCAGUGAAUUUUCUUAGCUGGCAUCUGAUUUUCCUUUUUUUACCUAUUACUUCAGAACCCAAAUGGGAUUUUUUUUAGGGCUUAUUUACAUGGUGUGUGUGUGUGUGUGUGUGUGUGUGUGUGUGUGUGUGUGUGUGUAUUCAGAUAUUAGAGAAUAAAGUUGUCCUAGUGGGCAAGGAAUGAGGUUUUUUGUCCUGUUCUCAAUAACUAGUACACAGUAGAUAUUUAAUAAAUGUUUGUGGAAUUGAAUUGUUUAAAAAGUCACCCAGUCUUAUCUUUCCUAUUCUCUAGACCAAGAGGAUGCAACUCUUUUGAGGCUGUAGAAAAGAUAAUAUUUUUGAAUCUGAACACAACUCUAAUCAGGUUUGGAAGUGGCAUCCCUGUGAUUAUACUCUACAUAUUCUAGGCUCCCUUAAGCUCAAUCUUGAAAAGCCUUCCCUCUUCAUCUCUCUGUCUUGACUUCUCUAUUGGGCACUGGAUUUUGUGCCAUAUAUAAAUUCUUAUACCUUUAUCAUAUUUUUAAUUCUGUGGUUUUAAAGCAUGGCUAUUAUUAUGAGGAAACUUAGGAAAUUUGUAAUUCUCAGAGAACAUAGUUCAGUGACUAUUAGACAGGUUGCUGGAGUUUUAUAAGUAUGAGGAAGCCAGGCAUUCAUGGAUCAUCAAGCCCAUAAUCAAAUGGGAUCAGUUAUACCCAAGUACAAAGGAAAAAGUGGUCAAAGAUGAAAAAUGAGAGCAAGAAUUGACAAAACUAUUGCUGUAAACAGCCAUAUUAACUCUCCAAAAAACAAAUAAUACCUCUCCAAAAUAAAGAAACCUAACCUACUAGCAAAGACUCUCAGGGACCUGGCAACUAGAGGGCUUGUUUCUGCACUUAUUAAGGACCUAUUAUAUGCCAAGUGCUUUAUGUGCAUUAUUUCAUUUGAUCCUCACCAUAACUCUGAGAGGUAGAUGCUAUUAUUUGUUUUACAGUUGAGGAAACUUAACUUUUUUUGGUUAAAAAAAUGGACUUGUUAGGUGAUCUGCUGAAAUGCCAUAACUUAAUAGGUAUCUUAUAUGGUUAGAUUUGAACUUCUAAUUCCAGACUCAAUGCUCUCUCUACUGUGUCAUCUACCUGAAUAUACUUUAAUGGCCCAAGAACUUACCUAAUUUAAGACCCAUUGAAAACUUAUGGGUCAUAAUCAAGAAUGGAUUAUCCUCAAAGGCAACUAUAGUGUGAUUAAAAACAUGACAAAUAUUUUAAACCCAAUGCUGAAUCAUGGCAAAUAUGUGAUCACAGCACAAGAGGACAUUCAUUGCUUGUUGAAAGUUUUUUAAAGAUGUAAAAAGUUGUAGGUUUUGUCAUAUGUCCAUGAAUCUAAUUAUUUUGCUUUGUCCAUAAGUACAUAAGUAAUAUACAUAAACAUUAAACGCUGCUACACGACAAACAUCAUGGUGAGUAUUAUCCCAUUUGAGCAUCAGAAUAUAGACAUUAUGAUGCUCAUUUUUGACAUGUUCAAACUAAGACUAAGUAACUCAAACUGGCCUCACAGUUAAAGGAGCCUAUGCAUUUGCACAUUUGUCUUCCUACCCCUUUAAAUCAAUUCCAGCUGCCUGGAGGCAGAGACUGUGGUAUUCACCUGAGUUUGUCCACAGCUUUCUUAGAAUAGGGUAAAAACUAGAGCUCCUGGUUGGGGAUUUUCUCAGGACAAUAGAAAUACAUGUCCCAUGAGAAGGGUUCAUGUACAAUGCUCUUGGACCCUAAUGUCCUGUAGAGGUGGAGGUGGAGGGAGGGAAGUGGUGGGAAGGGCAGAGAUUUCAGUACCACGGACAACUCAGAAUCUAAUAGCUUUCUACCCUAAAAAGAGAUUGGCAGUCACAACCUUGGGGGUUAUCUCAUGAAUAAUACCAAGUAUGAGAGUUCAUGCAUCAGACAAACCAUCUAAGGAAAGAUAAAUUGAUUGUCCACACAAUUUGGAAGCAGCAUUCUGUUUUGAAGAAUAAACAUUAGCCACAUGCCUUCAUGAGGAAAGGGGCAAGAGUUCUGCACUUUCACCACUUCAUUAUUACAAUAAAUUAAGACAAUACAUGUCGAAUGGAAAGGGAUAAUUAAUAAUUAAACAGUUCCAAAAAAGUGUUUCCCUCCAGUCUUCAACUGUAAAAUUGAGAUCAUAAUACAAUAGCACCUACUUUUAGGAUUGUUAUGAGGAUCAAAUGAUACAUUUAUUAAAAUAUUUAGCACAGUGCUGGGUACAUAGGUUGGCUCUUAAUAAUUGCUUAUUCCUGUCCCUCUUCCUCCUCUCCAUUAAAUAUCUAUUAUAUGCCAGGCACUGGGAAAACAAAGACAAAAGUAAAUAGACUUUGGUCUCAAGGAGUUUACUGUCUAGUGCAGGAGUUUUUAAUCAUUUUUCCUAUGUCAUGGCCCUUUUUGGCAUUUUAGUGAAAACUAAUUAACCUUUCUCAGAAUAAUGUUUUUUAAAUAAUUGAAGGAAAUGCUAAAUUUAUGUCAUAAGUUAGAGAACAUACAUAACUUUUUUCCCAUCAAAAUUAACAGACCCCUUGAAAGUUAUCUUUGGACCUCUUUGGAGGUCUGUAGGACCUCAUGUUAAGAAACCCUGAUUUAGGGAGAGACUAUACAUAUAUAAGUACAAAACGUAAAAAAGAUAAAAGGUGAUUUAGAGGGAUGAGAUGACACUAGCCAUGGGGUGAUUAGUGAAAACCUCAUUUAGAAAGUGAAUCUUGAGCUAAGCUUUGAAGGAAAUCUAAUAUUCUGAAAAGUGGAAGGAGGAAGUACAUUAUAGGCACAAGGGAUAGUCAAUAUAAGACAUAAAGGCAGAAAGAGUGCUGUGAAUGAGGAAGAGCAAAAAGGCCAGUUGGGCUGAAUCUCAGAUAUAUUCCAGAGGAAGGAAAAAACUUCUUUUUUUAGUAAAACUGAAAAUAGUAAGAAAUGUUUUCCUUUAAAGAGAUAUCUAGAUGGUACAGUGACUAGCAUAGAUAGCCUCUAGUGGCCUGGAGUUGGAAAUGUUAUUUUAGUCCAGUUCAACUCUUUAUGAUGUCAUUUGGGGUUUUUUUUUUGGCAAAAAUACUGGAGCAGCUAUUUAUUUCCUUAUCCAGCUUAUGUUAUAGAUGAAAAACCUGAGGCAAACAGAUGAAGUGACUAUCUGUGUGACCCUGGGAAAGUCAUUUAACCUUUCACUGCCUUAGUUUUUUCAUUUAUGAAAUGGCAAUAUUAAUGGCACUUAUCUUGCAAGGUUAUUGUGGGGAUAAAAUAUUAGUAAAAGGUUUAAAAAUCCAAGCGCCAUAUAAAUGCUAGCUCUUGUAACUAUUUCCCAAUUCCUGGAGAAAGCCCUGUGAAAAGGUGGGUAAUAGAAAACAAAAAGGGUUUUCUUAGAGAAUUAAAGAUGCUAACCAACAAAAAAUAAUUCUUCUUUAUAUCAUUGUUCCCCUACCCCUAAAACAAUUGAUAGUAGGUUUCAGCCAAAUGAAGUAGGCAAGUGAGGUAGUGAAAAAGAGGCACCUUUGCCACCACAUAGUCAGAAAAGAUGCACGCUAUAAUCUCCCAUUAGUCACUUCUCAGGAAUAGUCCAGAUAGAAAUGGAAUAGUAAAAUGUAACAAUUCUGGAAUAUUACCCCAAACUGUAUUUUUACUUAUUGUGAUCUCUACCUUAUUCAAAAUUCCCAUAAUUGUUGUCCGAAAUCUUGGGGUGGAGAGUAAUGUUGGAAGGCAUGGGAAACUAAGGUAGUUUGGACAUUUCUUGUUUCUUUCCAAGCUACAAAUGGUUAGAAAUUAGAGUAAUAUUUUUUUUUUUGCAAAUGAGUCUAAAUUCAAGGUACUAUAUAUAUUUUUUCUUUAAUAUUUAAAAUUUGCACUGGACAAUUACUAUAAUUCCGAAACCUGAUAGAAAGUCAGCAAGAGAUCUUUGCCACUUCUAUUUGAAGGACUAAAUAGAAGUGGAAGGCCCUUUUUAAACCUUUAUAGGAAGCUUUUCACUAUAGAAAUGUCCCUAAUCUUGCCUCUAGCCCUUGAUUAGGCACAUAGAAUUUGACCAUUUGAGAGGAAGGCCGAGUCUAUCCAUUACAGAAAAAAAUUAUUUGUCCAUGUCUGUUCUGAUGAACAUGAACAUGUCUAUGUUGUGUUAUAUGUUGUGUAUGGUAAACUUUGUGUUAGGAUAAAUCCUUUAUUUAGCAACUCUAAAUCACUUUUCUAUUCUUAUAACUAAGCCAAUUUCAACCACAUCUGACUGCCCAAUCAGGAAAAGUACUAAUCCCAUGAUCCUAGAUGACAGGUAAAUUAUUCUUACUUCCUUCUUGAUUCUGAACAGCAGUUUACUGGAGACUGGUAGUCCUUCCAUAAGCUUAACUGCUCCCAGAUUCUCUGGGAAUUUCACAAAGUACUCUGUUAAAGGAACUACAAACUGGCAAAAUAAAAAAGUGGUAAAUUAGGUAUUUUUCAUUCUUAUGAUUCAUUUUGGAAUCUAUUCCUAAGUUCUGUGUUUAAGAUAUAAAGACCUAAAGAGUGGUUAUCUUAAAAUUAAUAGGACCCCUAUAGAAAAAAGUUCUUUUUGGUCAUUUUGGCGUGCUUGACCAAAAUUGGUUAUUGAAUCCUCCUAGCUGAAAGUAAAUUGUCCCUCACAAUCAGGAUUGAUGAUCCUCUGUAACAGGAAAUGUAAUUAGAGAUGCCUGUGAAGAGAGAAAACAACAAAGACAAGAUUCCAUUUUUUUAAGGUAGAGCUGGCUUUAGGCUCCUAUUGGUAAAUGAACUCUUCAGGAGAGGUCUUCCAUUAUGGAGCCAACAUUAGUACUGGGUGUCCAACGUGGGAAAAGUUGGGGAAACCUCUAAGAAACAGAACAUACAAAAAUGUCCUUGUCCCCAGAAAAGCUAGCAUUUAUAUCUCACCCACUAGAGAAAUAAAACAUGUCAAUUCCUGGCCAAAAUUAUUUGUCUAAAGUUGCUUUUAAAGGAUCUUUGUUUAAUCUAAUUUAAGGGUUCACUCUGUAAACUUUUGGUUAUGUAAAAUGAAUGUUAGCAAAAGAAAUAUUUCACAUAUUUUCUUUAAGUCUGUGGUAAUAUUUGUUUAGUAAAAAGGUCAUUAAAAAGAUGGUCAGUCUUUAAACAGACCUAAAACCAAUUAAAAAAUUUUCUCUCCAGUAAACUUCAAAAAAGAAAGAGAAAAGUUGCUUUUGUUUGUUUCAAAACAUGGGUACUCAAGAAAAACCUAGCAAGUAUUCUUUUAAAUUUUAUUUUACUUAAAUCAUCUUGUAAUAGGCAAAUUAUUUGAAAGAAAAAGAGAGAAUUUUCAUUUUAAAGGUUUGGUUUGCCUGAUUAUUGCGAAUCUGGAUGAUAUGGCAGAAAAUUAUUGUUUUGUAAAUUAGAAGCAAAAUUAUUCAAAAGGAACUACACCAUAAUCAUUUAUUUUGUAAGUUCCUAAGAAACCAAAUUGUGUUUUCCAUGGCCAAAUGAGAAACUGCCUCUAAAUCUAGAAGUUUCAGCUCUGAUCACCUAAAAACAAAGCUUUGAAAUAGAUUUGAGAAAUAUAAGAAAAUUGAGCAAAUUUGCAAAGGAGAGACUCGAGGAAACUGAACUUGAAAAAAAUUGGAAACAAUUUGAAAGCAAAUAAGAAUAAGAUUAAAAAAUAUAUCAUCCUUAGAGACAAUCAAUAUAUAAAGAGUGAUUUGGAAAGCUCUAUGGAUAAAUCAGUAAAUAAAAUAGGAAUUAUAGUCAACACAAACAGUGUGUAAACUUCAAGUUCAGUUAAAAGACAAUGAAAAACUGUAUAAAAGUGCUGUUAAAAGUUAAAAGAAAAAUCUAAAAAUAAAACUCUGCUUGCAGAAGUACUCAUUUCAAAUCCAGAUGAGUGGCUUCUGUUCCUGAUUCCCCAAAAGGCUGAGAAUCUCUAGCCAGAAGCAAGGUGUAUCUUAGGGUAUGAGGUGAAAGGGGAAGAGGGAAAGACAAAGACAAAAGAAAAGGCCAGAAUUUUGGAAAGCAUUACAUAGAAUUUAAGGAAGUUUUUUAAUCUUCAUUGAAAUAAGAGAACAAAAAAGCAAGAUUGCCAUGCUUAUAAAGCUUAUAAAGUUCUGAACUCAACUUGGAGAAAUGCUUAUUUCACCCUUGGGAAGAUGGAGUUAGUAUUGAGAUAGUUGAUUUCCAGAUAAUUUAUGUUCCUGUGCUUGUGGAAAAGUAUCUGGAACCAUGUAGCAGGUUUAAAAAAAAUUAAUCGGUUUUAAGGUUUAAAUUUAUAUUAGGUCUGAUAAAUCGAAAGGAAUGUUCAAUUACUGUUCACAGCAUUUUAAUCUGUGCUCUGAAUGGCAAAUAUUAGUGCUACAUCUUUGUGGCUGUGUGAGUAAAAGUGAUCACUAUUGAUAGAUUAAAAGGAAGAAGUAGGACCAAACUUUCCCCAACUACACAGUAUAGAUUUAGAAAAUGUGCCACACUGAGUCCUAUUUGGAAAAUUAAAGAAAAAAAUUAUAAGUAAUUUUUUCAAUCCACUUUGGCAAAGGAAAGAUUAUCUGAACAGGGCCUGCUGUGUACCAAAGCAAGAAGAGGUCACAGAUCUGGCAGAGAGGGGACUGAAUUUGUCCAGGAAGUAGCACCUGAUGCCAAGUGAUAGUUUUGUAAUUUACUCUCUUGUGUUGGGCCACAGAUCUAAUGCAGACUGAGGAGGAUCACCUAAAAGACAGCCAUCCAAGAAUGGCAUUCCAAGGCAAAGACUUGUCAAAAACUAUGUCCCGAGAGGAAGUAGUACAAAAGAAAACAGUAGUUGUGAAGCCUUGACCCAGGAAGUAGAUUGUAGCCUCAAAUUUAGUCUUCUGACAGUCUUAAAAAUCUGUAAUAGAACCAGAACAGGAAUCCUAGGCUGGGGGAGAAGGGAGUGUUCUAUAGUGCUUUUACCUUGAAAUUGGAUAAUUUUCCAGGUGUCUGACAUGACUGAAUUUAGCAGUAAUCUACUGAAGUUCCAACCAGAGGCAAGCCAAAGGUUCUACUGUUAAGAUCUAAACCCAGGUCAAAUAUUGCAAAGCUCAGACCAGGAAAAUAGCAUGCUCUGCUCUAAACCUAAUUACAUUAGGAACACUGAUAUCUUGAAGAUUCCCAAGCUGAGAUGUCCCUGAUAUCCUGGUAUAUAGCUUAAUUACCAAAAAGCAGCAGGAUCAAGAAACACAACAGAACCAAAUACUGUUCAUCCAUAUCCAUCAGAAGUAUACAGAAUUUAAUCCUAACAUGAAAUCUGAAGUCAAGAAAUAGCCUGGAAGAAUGAGCAAAUAACUCCCGCCCAAAGCAGAAAUCUAUCAUAAAAAGCUAUUAUGGUGAUAGAGUGGCCAAAGACAUAAACCCAGAAGAGAAUGUCCUCCCAAAAAAUUUACAAAGCAAGCCUGAAAGAAAAACACAGCUUCGGCAUAAGUUCAACUAUGUAAUUUAUGGAAGAAACAAGGCAAAAAUUUUUUUCAGAGUUAAAGUAAAAUAAGAGCACUAGAGAAAACUGUUGGAAAAGAAAUGAAAGUGCUAGAGGAGGAAAUUGGGGGGUGGGGAAGAGAGUUAUGGAAGAAUAAAUUGGAAAUAGAAUGUAACAAUGAUAUACAAUCUUACCAAGCACCAGACAUCUUGAAAGCUUGAUUGGACUACAUGUUAAUCUCUCCCCAAGACAAGAAGAAAUAUUAAAGCAAAGUCAAGACUAAAAUCAUAAAAAAAAAAGCUUCUAUAAAAGUAACGACAUGGAAAUCGGAUCAAGACAUAAUUUAAGCAUUCAACUUUUCUGAAAAUCAUGAUUUAAAAAAUGAGCCAAGGCAAUAUAUUUUAAGAAAGCAUAAAAAGAAAACUAUCCAGAUUUUAGGGCAAAAUUAAAAAAUUUAAAAAAUACUCAGGAACAUUCUAAUAGUCAAAGAAUACAAAUUGCCAAAAAGAAUUCAAAUAUAGAAGUCAGCCAGAAUCACACAAGAUUUGACAGCAAUCACUAUAAAGAAGUAGAAAGCUUGGAAUAUGUUUCAUACUCUGAAAAGAUGUAGGCUUACAACCAAGACUAACUCAGAAAACCUGAGCAUAAUCUCACUGCAUUGGACCUUUAAUUGAAAUAGAGAAUUUACAAGUGUUCUGGUGAAAAGCCAAGAGCUAUGUGGAAACUUUAAAAUACUAACGUAGACUUCUGUUCAGAGAAACAUGAGAUCAAUAUGAGGGAACAGUAAUAAGGGACUAAACAAGGAUGAAUUGUUUGCAUUCUAACAUGAGUUGAUUGUGUCCUCUCAAAACCCCUACAAUCAUCAAGGGUCAUAGAAAAUUGAAAAUGAGUUUUGAUCUUGAAGAAAGGAAAGGGAGAGAAAGGUGUAUGUACUGACUGGGGGAAGAAGUGUAGGAAAAAUUAUACAUAAUCUGGGUACAGAAGUAACACUACAUAAACAGGAAAGGGACAGGGAAUAGAUGACUCUCGCCCCUCUCCGCUGAACUAGUCAAAGGAGGGAAGAAGUCAUACACACAGGAGGGAAGAAUUCACACACACACAAACACAUGCACAGAAGUUGGAUGCAGAAAUUUCACACUACAUGAAAAGGGGAAAAGGAGAGGGGAGAAUAAAUGGGGAAAGUAAAGGAGGAAUUGAAUAUUAAAGGAGUUUGAGGCUCUGGACUGAGAGAAGAGGGACAGGAGAGCCAAAGCAGAUUGCAUCAAACCUAGAGUACUGGUGCUGAGCACAGUCCUCUAUCAUCACCCCUCUUCUAAGUAGAAGGCAUAAAACUUAACAAAAGCAACUCAACCUCUGACAGAGGUGAUAGAAUCUGAGACAUGGAGACAUUGAGAAGUUUUUGGAAGAUGGUGGGGCAUAGAGAAUUUCUUUGCUUGACUGUGCAUUUUUAUAAAGGUUUUGUUUUUUUCAAUGGCAGUAGUGUGGAAGAAGGGAGAAGUGUAUUUUCACAAUAUUUUAAAUUAAAUUUUAAUUGAAAAAAAUUUUUUAAAAGGGUUUAAAUAAAAUUCAGUUAAACUUAGAAGAGAAAUUGGGAAAAUUUUGCAGAAGGUUUCUUUGAUAAAGAUCCUAUUUUCAAGACAGAGUACUAAUAAAAAUAUAAUAUUCCCUAAUUGGUGGUCAGAGGAUAUGAAUAAACAAUUUUUGCAAGAUCUAAUAGCCACAUGAAAAAAUACUCCCAAAGCACUAUUAGAGAAACACAAAUUAAAGUAAUCCUGAGGUUCCCCCUUACACUGACAAAAAUUGACUAUAUAUUUGUUGAAAGGGCUAUAGGAAAAACAAGCAUUUUAUUGUAUUGUUGGCAAAGCUAUGAACAAUCCAGUAAUUUUGGAAAACAACCAAGAGUUACUAAGUUGUUGAGGAGGAAAAUGAUUCAUAUAUACAAAAAUUAUCAACUCUUUUUGUAAUGAGGAAAAUAACAUCAGGAAACUAAAGGAGUAAUCAAUUAGGGAAAAGCUGAAUAAAUUAAUAUGAAAUGAAACUUCAUUGUGCCAUAAGAAUUGACAAAGGGGAUGGUUUUUAGACAACCCUGGGAAGACUUGUAUGAACUGAUGCAGAGUGAAGUGAGAAAAACCAGAAAAACAAUUUAUAUAAUAGUGUAAAGAUAAAAAACUGUGAAAGACUUAAAAACUCUGAUCAAUACAAUGACCAACCACACAAUUCCAGAAGACUAAUGAAGAAUGUUAUUCAUUUCCAACAGAUAGGAGAUUGACCUAAAGGGCAGAAUGAGGUAUAUAUUUUACUUGACCAAUGUGGGAAUUUGCUUUUUUUGGUCAUACAUUUCCUAUAAAGGGUUUGUUUUUCUUUUUUCUAUGGAAAGUGGGAGAGGGAGGGGGGAAAGAGAAAAAAAAUUGUUAAAUCUGAGAAAAACUAAAAAAAAAAAAAAAAAAAAUCACAACUCUACACUGGUUCCUGAGUGCAAUCAACAUAAAAUGCCCAAAUUAGUAGAUUUUUCCCAUGUGUGUUUAGAGAUGCAUUCUACCAGGUUAAUUAUAUUAUCAAGACAUGUUUUGUAUUUAUCUUUUGAGUUCACCAGAUUGUUUUAUGUUAGUGUGUUUUCUGUUAGUGUCAUUUUUAUAAGUACAUUACAAUGUGAUUUUGGAAAUUAUUACAAAAAGGUGCUGUUGAUUUUGUAAUGGUAACUACUAUGAUUCACUUGAAACUUUAGGAGGACAGAUCCUCCUUGAUCAAAAUACUAUGAAUUAGAACCAAUACAAUCAAGGCUCUUAAUUGAAUUAUGACUAUAUGUAUCCUAUGUGUUUUUUUAAAUGUCCUUUUGAAUUUGGUAAAUAAUAGACUUUGAGAAGAUGAAAAUGCUAUCCGACAACAUAGCUUGAAGUAAAAUGGAAAGAAUUGAUAAUAUUUAGAAGUAAUUUCAACAUGAAAUGGACUGCUUAUAUUGUACUUAAGGAUAAAUUUGGUAAAUUGUUCUUUAGAAAUUCAAAUAUCUUCCUAUAGCCUGUUCAAAUUACCCUAUUUUUAAGAUAGUUAAACUUGUAUUAGUGUGCAUUUAUGACUCUGAGAAUAGUCUCACUGAUACAGACUAUUUCCAUUGCUUGAAAUACCGAGUUAACAUAUCUCCUUGAAUGUAAUCCUUGAAUGCUGUGUUUAAGUCCAUGAAAUAGUUUUGUGUUCAUGUUGAUGUUUAUAAGUUUGGAAAAUAUAGAAGUGUUGUUGAUUUUGUAAUGAUAUUGUAAUUCAUUUGUAACAUUAUGAGAUGAUGUCCUUGAUCAGAAUGCUAUGAUUGAUUUAUGAAUUAACAUCAUUUUAAAUCAAUUUAAAUCAAAUCAAAUCAAUUUAAUUUAAACAAAUCAAUUUUAAAUUAAAAAAUUUUAAAUCAUUUUAAAAUUUAUUUAGCAACCAUUUUUCCUGGAGAACUGAGUCAGGAAAAUCAAAAAAGGAAAAUGGAAAAUUCAGCCUAGAGACUAAGUUUGAAAAAUCUACAUAAUGUUUAUGUUUAAAAGUGCAAUCCAAGGCUGUUCUGUGAAUGGCUAAUCAAUUUAGGAAAAGGAGAUCUAGGAUGAGGUCUACUCUAUAUUCAAGAUCUUUUUCCGACCUCAUACAGAACAAUUAAGACUUAACAUUCUUCUUUAGCCUAUCCAUAAGAUCUUGCUCUUUUCUAAGAUUUGUUUUGUCUAAAAACAAUCAUCUCCCUUUAAUGCCAGAGAUGAUGCAUAAGAGCAAAGAGAGAAGUUUAUGUUAACUGGGAUUAUUUGAUAUUAUUGUGCAGCACAAAUUUUCUUUAAAAUGUUAUCUGUUAUGGAGAUAAUAUUAGGAAACAAGAUCAAAACAGAAAGGCUUAGGACACUGAGCUUGGAGACCUUAUUUAUAGACAUUUAUUGUCUGUGUGAGUCUGAGCAAAUCACUUUAAUCUUUCAGGCUCAGUUUCCUUAUCUAUAAAAAGCAGAUAAUAGCAUCUGUUUCCUAGAAAUAGUGUGAAGAUCAAAUGAAAUUAGAUACAUAUAAAGUAUUUUGUAAAUGUGAAAGUAACCAUGUGAAUAUUAGUUAUCAAUUCAAAGAAAGAAUAUGUGAUGGAUCUUUUACUUUUAUCAUUUAAAUUGGUUCUCUUCUAAGUGCCAUAAUGAUGAAUGUAUGAUUGUUAUUGUACUUGAUUGUUAUUGUAUUGAUUUUAGAAUAAAUUGAAGCUUAUCUUACAUUGGGCCUGGAGUCAGGAAGAUCUGGGGGUAAACCUGUCCUUAAGACACUUAUUAGCUAUGUGACACUGGGCAAGUCAUUUAACUUCUGUUUGCCUCAGUUUUCUCAACUGUAAAAUAGGAUAAUUAAUAAUAGCACCUGCUUCACAGGGUUAUUGUGAGGAUCAAAUGAGAUAUUUGUAAAGUGCUAACUAAGUAUAAUGUCUGGCAUAUAGUGGGAAAUAUUUGUUUCCUUUUCUUCCCUUUCCCCUUACUACUAAAGAAGUCGCCAAAGGAAAUUCUGAAAGACUUCUGGAACUAUAUUACUGUUAACCAACAAAUGGCUGCUAAAAGCCAGAUUCUUCAAAAAAGAGAUUGCAUAUUCAAUAGUAAAUGAACUUACGCUCCUAUGGAAUUGAAAGUGAACGGAUAGAGCGAUUGUACCUAUCCAGCAUCUAGAAAAAAUGCUCCACUCCAGAACAAAGAGACUAAAUCUUGUGAUAGUAUGUCUACCAGCUACCAAGACCAUGCAUUAAUUCCUAUUGGACGCCUUUUUGGAAAGAACUGGGAAAGGUUCACUUGGGAAUGUGAAAUAUAUUAUGUAGAGGAACCAACUGAAAUUAUUACCUUUAUUUGACACUUUCUAUGUUGGUGGACAGAAAUGUACCCUUCAAGAAGAUAACUCUGCAUCCCAGAAUAACAAAAGUAUGUGUAAUUGCUUAAUUUCUUAUUUACAGAUUGGAACCAUUGGUGUCCAUGCUUUUCUUUAUAAUGUCACUGUAUUUUGUAAGAAAAUAGAGCCUAUUACUGGUGAUUUGAGUAAUAUGAGAUCAAAAAAGCUAUCUCAUUAUAAUAGGAUUUUAUGGGAAAGAGGGUAAAUGGUUAUACACAUGCUAUACUAUAGAUUUUAAGAUGACCUUUUACCAAUAUGUUACAUCCCAGUUUUCUGAGACAAUUUGACUAGACCUGACUAGACUGGUACCAGAUAAGGGAGAUUUAAUUGCACACUUUUGUGUUAAGAACUAAACACUGGAAUGUAUGUAAAGGCUUAGAAACAACUAGCUGGUAUAGUUAGAAAAGCUACUGUCCUUAUGACAGGAAACUAUUGAAUCAACUACAAGUCUGAGAGAGGUCCACAUCGGUUCUGCAUAUGGUAACAUUAUGAUAACUCUUCUCCUGAAGGAGCUGAGACAUUCCAGUGAGAAUCAAUGCUUUGAGGCCCAGAAUUUCUUGAAUUACCAGCUGUGAGUUAUACAUGAUGACCUCACUCAUCAAUGUUGGCCCGACAGCUCACGGAAUCAAGAAUUCUUUAUGACCUGUGUCCGUGGAGUUAUGCCUAGAGGUUCUCAACUUGGAAGAGCAGCCACCUACAAUGUACCUUCUAUACUUAAUGGCCCCAUUGGGGAGGUCUGGGUCUUGACUCAGGUACAGUAGGAAGGGACAUAUGGGAUUGAGCAGUCCAUAGUGAUAUGUGAGACUUCAAAUUCCCAGGGGAGACAAGUUGAUUCAUAAGUUCUCCUGUAAUGAUGACAAAUUUUUGGCUUGGAAUAAGCUAUCAACAAAUUUUCUAAUCUUUACAACCAUCCAGUUGCAAUGUGUGCAAAACUUUGAAAGGAUGAAGUACUUGAUAAAAUUUUUAUAUGGAACACAAUUUUUUAUGUGUUUUGUUGAACAGAUAAUAGCAAGUAUACUCUCUAGGUGAGCAUUAAAACUAUAUCUACAUAUAUAUAUUGAGGUAAUAGAAUUUGGAAACCUUUGAAAUGUAAAAAAUUGUUCUGACAAUGUUCUGCUUGCUCCAAGUAUAUGAAAGUUAUUUUCAUAUGGUGUGUUAUUUUACUAUGUGCUUUUCAUUGAAUAUGGUUCAUGUGUUUUGCUUUGUGAUAAGGAUAAAAUUUAAUAACUCUUGUAUGAGGAUUUAAUCUUUAUUCAUUUUAUUUAAAUGGUGAAAAAAUAGGUCUAAGUGUCUGUAUGGUAUAAAAUGGCA